RNAcentral lists this long non-coding RNA (2879 nucleotides) under Homo sapiens (human). Its description in RNAcentral is "MORF4L2 antisense RNA 1 (MORF4L2-AS1)". Lineage: Eukaryota; Metazoa; Chordata; Mammalia; Primates; Hominidae. The record is from RNAcentral.
CCCCGAACACGGAAAAAAAAGGCGCAGUGGGGGUUCUGCUGUGUUUGCAAGUGAGGGUCGUGAGUGCAACGGGCGCAAGGCAUUAAGGCCAGUGUGUUAGUGCGCGGGCAGGCUCGCGUGGUGCUGGGGUUGCUGUGUGAGCGGCCCUCGUGGCUCGGGAGGUGCUGUGUUUGCGCAGGCGUGCGCCCCUGGCGUCGGGACUGGGACUCCGGAUUUCUGUGGCGACUGAGGCGCUCUUACCUUUGCGUCCUGAUCUCCAAGCAAGCACACUGACCUUCUUCAGGCAAAUACGCACUGUUAAUUUUCCAGAAAGUUCUGUGAGUAAGGUUUAUACCUCUCGAGUCUGCCACUAGAUGCCGCCAAAUCCCAGCAAAGGAUUGGCUGUUUGGUCCCUGGGAUUCUGGGAUUUUGUUUCCCUCCCCCCUCCCCUUUCUGAUUUGCUGAACGGUAAUAUCUAUAGGCAUCAUGGAUAUCGUUCAUUCCUAGGAAAAAAUAAAAUCAACUUCUGUAAAUAGCACUAGUAGGCAGGGGACUGUGACCCAAGAUCCAAAUAAUUUUGCUCAUUUCUUUCCUUUUCUCCUUGGGUUAAAAAAAAAAAAAGGCCCCUCUCCAUCCCUCUUUUCUUUUGUCCUUGCCUUGUUUAAUCAAAGAGUUAAUGAAUGACGCAAGCACUGAUGCUGAAGAUCCUAACCCUUUUUCCUCACCUUUUCAAAUGCUCGCAACUCACCCAAACUGAAAAUACAGAUAGCUGUUCCGUCAGUAAAGAUAGAUAAGAACUCAUCAGUAAAACCUGGACCCUGGUAUUGAAAACUGAUUUUCCUUUUCUCUUGAAAUUUGUAUCAGAUAUGUGUUUUUGCACCCUAUUUUCUGUAGUGGUAUUGGUAAACUUUAUUGUGUCUUUGGAGUAAGAGAAAGAGACCUAAUUGUAAACCUCAUUCCACCACUUACUAGUCUCAGUACCCUGGGCAAAUGAUUUAUGUUUUGUGAUCCUCAGUUUUUUUGUAUGCUUUCUAUAUUUUAGAUGCUGUGUUAUAUCGUUCACGUUGAUUUUUUUAUUCAUCACCAAGUCCUUAUUAGAUGAGCACUACUGGAUCAAAGUCAAACAACAAAAAUCAUACCCCUUUCAAUUAUCUAUCUUAUAUACUUGUACACCACACAGGAGGGAUUUUUUUAGAGCAGUGGUUCCCAAGGUGUGUUUCCUGGAUGUACCAGAAACAUCAGCGUCACCUGAAAAGUUGUCAGAAAUUCGGAUUCUCAGGUCCCACCUCAAACUUAAUGAAUCAGAAGUUCGCAGGGUGGGGUUUAGUAAUCUGUGUUAUUACAAACUAUCCCAGUGAUUCCAGCACACACUGAAGUUUGAGAGCCACUGCUUUGGAGAGUAGAAAUGCAAUGCAUAUUUUUGUACACACCACUAGAGGGUGCUACAGAAUGUAAAGCAAAAUAAUAAAUGAUGCACAGUAUAUGUUUUCAGACACCCUCUAUAUUAUCAGUCCUAUUUUACAGAUUAAAAACUAAUGUGUAGAUAUGUCAAAUUAUUUUCUUAGUGUACGCAACAAGUAUGGGAACCAGGAUUUGAACUUCACCUGCCUCUAGCCCAAGCCCCUAAUAGUACUCUGUUGUUUAACCAUGAUGACUUGUCUUUCCAAGCCUCAAAAUACAUUAGAAAUAUCUUGUUCCCUGCUUUGGCUAAUGUUGACUGGAGUGUCAAGAAGAGUGCAGGAAAGCAAACCAAGCUGUUGCAACCUCACCAGAACAGCUGAAGAAUGAAUUUCAGCCUGGACUCUACCUUAUUAGUUGGGCACCCUUGGGGAGGGUGCAACCUGCCCAACAUUUUCUGCUGGCCCUGUCUUACCUCAUGACUAAGAGAGCCUUCCUAGGUCUGGAAGGUAGCAGUCAGUCUGUUCUGGAGGGUGGAGAGAGACACCAGUGUUUUCCCAUGGUUUCUGGGUAGUAGAUAAAAUUGGUCUAUUCUAAGGUUAAUUUGAUAUUUUAAAAUUUUGAUUCUGACUAGCUUAUUGGAUUUUUUUGAAUAAUGUUUGAUUAAUGUAAAGGUUAAAAAUAAAACCUAAUAUUUCAGCUAAGCAAAUGGUAUUUCUUUAAUAAGGACGUAUUUCUAUCUAUUUAUACCUGCCUCAUUCCAUAGGAAUUUUAUAAAGCCAGUCCAGGAAUGUAGUCUGAAUCAAUCUAGUUUGCUAGCCUGUGAGACCAGGGCAAAGAUGAAAAUAGUCAUGGGAAAGUUUUAUCCUUUUAGGGGUAUCUGUCUUCUUCUAGUUCCUCUCUCCUCCUUUGACAAAUCCCCACCCCGAGACUGACCUACCCAUUUGACAGAAUGAGAUUACUUCUUCAAAUGACCCAAAACACUGAGAUCCUGAACCUAAUCAAUAAUGUCCUUGGAUGACCUUGGGAUGCCAGAUUCACACAUAAUUCCUUGUUGUCCCCUUCCUGAGUUAAUAGUUUAGCAUACAAUUUACCAAAAUUUGUAGUUUCCUGAGCCACAGACUUCACUUGGAAUGAUCAUAUAAAGUCAUCCAUGCUACAUACCAACCCACAGAAAUGAGGACCGCUUUCCUCCAGUGUAUGCUGAGUCCUACAAUCUGAGCACUGCUUCAAGAGGAUGCCUUGAGUCAUUUUUCCAGAGUUAAAUUUGCUUAUGCUUCUAACCUCCACCUACAGUCCCCGUUACACUGGGAAUGAUAAAAACUAUGCCUUUUGAAAAUAUAAGCUGUCAUGUUAUUAAAGAUGACAAACCAGUAGUAGUUAAAGUGCUGCAUCUAAAUUGUUGAAGCUUGUUACGUGGGAGUUCAUUAGACUGUUUUUCCUACUUUUGUGUAUUUUUGAAGUUUUCCAUAAUAAAACAUUUAAAAAGACAAAAAAAAAAA